Molecule: long non-coding RNA, 219 nt
Filed under: Elaeis guineensis (African oil palm)
Lineage: Eukaryota; Viridiplantae; Streptophyta; Magnoliopsida; Arecales; Arecaceae
Description: long non-coding RNA (EGUI_LNC011079)
Source: RNAcentral
UCUAAAUUUUAUGGAGCAGUGGAUGGAUUUUUAGAUACUUUAUUUUAUUUUAAAUUCAAGAUAAAUUUCUAGAUAUUUCAUCCUCGACGAAGAUUCUCUCAGUUCAUAGCUCAUGUCUUGCACAAAUGAAGUCCAUCCAAGUAGUGAGCUUCAUCCUAAAAAUCGAUAGAUCAAAGAUAUGAAAUCCCCCAGCAGUCAAAAAUCUGAUGUUCGAGCUUC